Molecule: non-coding RNA, 48 nt
Organism: Schistosoma rodhaini
Lineage: Eukaryota; Metazoa; Platyhelminthes; Trematoda; Strigeidida; Schistosomatidae
Source: Rfam
AUCCAGCUGUCGAGUCUCAAAUAGGACGAAACGCUUGUCAAACUGGAU